This 495-nucleotide ribosomal RNA is filed under the name uncultured bacterium. RNAcentral describes it as "partial 16S ribosomal RNA". It matches the Rfam family "Bacterial small subunit ribosomal RNA", at positions 28 to 507 of the family's 1533-position model. The record is from RNAcentral.
GAUGAACGCUGGCGGCGUGCCUAAUACAUGCAAGUAGAACGCUGAAGGCGGAGCUUGCUCUUCUGGAUGAGUUGCGAACGGGUGAGUAACGCGUAGGUAACCUGCCUGGUAUCGGGGGUUAACUCUUGGAACCGAUAGCUAAUACCGCAUGACAACAGUUAUUGCAUGAUAACUGUUUAAAAGUUGCAACUGCUCCACUACCAGCUGGACCUGCGUUGUAUUAGCUAGUUGGUGAGGUAACGGCUCACCAAGGCGACGAUACAGAGCCGAACUGAGAGGGUGAGCGGCCACACUGGGACGGAGACACGGCCCAGACGCCUACGGGAGGCAGCAGUAGGGAAUCGUCGGCAAGGGACGGAAGUCUGACCGAGCAACGCCGCGUGAGUGAAGAAGGUUGUCGGAUCGUAAAGCUCGGUUGUAAGAGAAGAACGAGUGUGAGAGUGGAAAGUUCACACUGUGACGGUAUCUGACCAGAAAGGGACGGCUAACUACGUG